AGAUUGAACGCUGGCGGCAGGCCUAACACAUGCAAGUCGAGCGGUAGAGAGGUGCUUGCACCUCUUGAGAGCGGCGGACGGGUGAGUAACGCCUAGGAAUCUGCCUAGUGGUGGGGGAUAACGUUCGGAAACGGACGCUAAUACCGCAUACGUCCUACGGGAGAAAGCGGGGGACCUUCGGGCCUCGCGCCAUUAGAUGAGCCUAGGUCGGAUUAGCUAGUUGGUGAGGUAAUGGCUCACCAAGGCGACGAUCCGUAACUGGUCUGAGAGGAUGAUCAGUCACACUGGGACUGAGACACGGUCCAGACUCCUACGGGAGCAGCAGUGGGAAUAUGGACAAUGGGCAAAGCCUGAUCCAGCCAUGCCGCGU
RNAcentral lists this ribosomal RNA (370 nucleotides) under uncultured soil bacterium. RNAcentral's name for it is "bacterial SSU rRNA". It matches the Rfam family "Bacterial small subunit ribosomal RNA", at positions 26 to 402 of the family's 1533-position model. The record is from RNAcentral.